This 763-nucleotide ribosomal RNA is filed under the name uncultured Streptococcus sp. RNAcentral describes it as "bacterial SSU rRNA". It matches the Rfam family "Bacterial small subunit ribosomal RNA", at positions 28 to 776 of the family's 1533-position model. Lineage: Bacteria; Bacillati; Bacillota; Bacilli; Lactobacillales; Streptococcaceae. The record is from RNAcentral.
GACGAACGCUGGCGGCGUGCCUAAUACAUGCAAGUAGAACGCUGAAGGAGGAGCUUGCUUCUCCGGAUGAGUUGCGAACGGGUGAGUAACGCGUAGGUAACCUGCCUGGUAGCGGGGGAUAACUGUUGGAAACGAUAGCUAAUACCGCAUAAGAGUAGAUGUUGCAUGACAUUUGCUUAAAAGGUGCAAUUGCAUCACUACCAGAUGGACCUGCGUUGUAUUAGCUAGUUGGUGGGGUAACGGCUCACCAAGGCGACGACACAUAGCCGACCUGAGAGGGUGAUCGGCCACACUGGGACUGAGACACGGCCCAGACUCCUACGGGAGGCAGCAGUAGGGAAUCUUCGGCAAUGGACGGAAGUCUGACCGAGCAACGCCGCGUGAGUGAAGAAGGUUUUCGGAUCGUAAAGCUCUGUUGUAAGAGAAGAACGAGUGUGAGAGUGGAAAGUUCACACUGUGACGGUAUCUUACCAGAAAGGGACGGCUAACUACGUGCCAGCAGCCGCGGUAAUACGUAGGUCCCGAGCGUUGUCCGGAUUUAUUGGGCGUAAAGCGAGCGCAGGCGGUUAGAUAAGUCUGAAGUUAAAGGCUGUGGCUUAACCAUAGUACGCUUUGGAAACUGUUUAACUUGAGUGCAAGAGGGGAGAGUGGAAUUCCAUGUGUAGCGGUGAGAUGCGUAGAUAUAUGGAGGAACACCGGUGGCGAAAGCGGCUCUCUGGCUUGUAACUGACGCUGAGGCUCGAAAGCGUGGGGAGCAAACAGG